Long non-coding RNA from Nyctereutes procyonoides (raccoon dog), 1283 nucleotides. RefSeq lists it as uncharacterized. Lineage: Eukaryota; Metazoa; Chordata; Mammalia; Carnivora; Canidae. The transcript is spliced from 4 exons. The record is from RefSeq and is a predicted model, not a curated record.
UUUUGUCCCUUCCAGGCAUCCUGCCCAACUUGCAAAGUGGAAACCCUUGCGACUUUUUCUUUCACUUGUCCUGAUAAUGUCUUGGGUAGUCAAAUAAAUUUACACAAAGCAAAGAAUGUUCAGGAAGCACAAACAAACACAAAAACACUUCAUCAUUAGCAUCCUGAAAGCAAAUUGCAUUACUUUGGUCCUGGUCUCCGUAAAAACAGCAGUUCCCCAUUAUGCGCAGUUUUGCUUUCUGUGGUUUCAGUUAUCCUCCAGUAAACAUGGUCUGGAAGCAGGUGAUACUCCUGACGAGUCGUCAGGAGGUCAAGAGUAGGCUAGCUAGUAGGCAAGCUGCGUCAUCCUGUGGAUGUCAUCACCUUGCAUCAUCGUAGGUCAUCCUAUUGGGCAGGCAUUUCACCAUCUCUUAUCAUCAAAAGAAGAAAGCAAUCUCUAUACCCAGCGUGGGGCUCAGACUCACAACCUGGAGAUCAAGAGUAGCUCUCUUGACUGAGCCAGCUAGCUGUCCCUCUAUGAAAGUUUUAAAGCAGCACACGAAGUCUUACGGCCCCAGUGACUUAUGUGUGAUCUUGUUUGUGCAUAUGAGUGAUGGGGGAGUGUAUUCUUCUCUCACAAAAGCCCUCCUUCCACGGUGACCUGGCCCCUCUAGCAUGGGAAGAAGGAAGAGAGAACAAGAAGACAUGUCUCCUCAGAUCCUGAGAAAGAGAGCACGACGUCGGGGAGGGAGAGGAAGAAGCAGACUCCUCUGCUAAGCAGGGAGUCCCACGUGGGGCUCAAUCCCAGGACCCCGGGAUUAUGACCUGAGCUGAAGGCAGACGCUUCACCGACUGAGUCACCCAUGCACUCCAGGUGGGCCCAGUUUUAAGCAGGAUGGGGAAAGUUUAGAUACUGAUACCUUUUUUCCUCCUCCCCAUUGGUCUGUACCUUUCUUAGCAGUAGAAAUGGGUCAGGAAAGAGCAAACAACUCUGGAACAUGGAGAGCAGGACUUUCUGGUCUUUCGAUACUUAUUGAUCAGGUCUCAUAUGACUGAUUUUCUAAGAACAAACUUUUUUUUUAAUUUUUUUAUUUUUUUAAAAAUUUUUAUUUACUUAUGAUAGUCACAGAGAGAGAGAGAGAGAGAGAGAGAGAGAGAGAGAGAGAGAGGCAGAGACACAGGCAGAGGGAGAAGCAGGCUCCAUGCACUGGGAGCCUGACGUGGGAUUCGAUCUGGGGUCUCCAGGAUCGCGCCCUGGGCCAAAGGCAGGCGCUAAACCGCUGCGCCACCCAGGGAUCGUCUAAG